UACAGAGGGUGCAAGCGUUGUCCGGAAUCACUGGGCGUAAAGGGCUUGUAGGCGGCCAACUAAGUCCGACGUGAAAUCCCCAGGCUUAACCUGGGAACUGCGUCGGAUACUGGAUGGCUUGAAUUCGGGAGAGGGAUGCAGAAUUCCAGGUGUAGCGGUGAAAUGCGUAGAUAUCUGGAGGAAUACCGGUGGCGAAGGCGGCAUCCUGGACCGACAUUGACGCUGAGGAGCGAAAGCUAGGGGAGCAAACGGG
Molecule: ribosomal RNA, 253 nt
Filed under: uncultured bacterium
Lineage: Bacteria
Description: partial 16S ribosomal RNA
Rfam family: Bacterial small subunit ribosomal RNA
Source: RNAcentral